GACGAACGCUGGCGGCGUGCUUAACACAUGCAAGUCGAACGGUAAGGCCCUUCGGGGUACACGAGUGGCGAACGGGUGAGUAACACGUGGGUGAUCUGCCCUGCACUUCGGGAUAAGCCUGGGAAACUGGGUCUAAUACCGGAUAGGACCAUGGACUUCACGGUUUGUGGUGGAAAGCUUUUGCGGUGUGGGAUGGGCCCGCGGCCUAUCAGCUUGUUGGUGGGGUAAUGGCCUACCAAGGCGACGACGGGUAGCCGGCCUGAGAGGGUGUCCGGCCACACUGGGACUGAGAUACGGCCCAGACUCCUACGGGAGGCAGCAGUGGGGAAUAUUGCACAAUGGGCGCAAGCCUGAUGCAGCGACGCCGCGUGAGGGAUGACGGCCUCGGUU
RNAcentral lists this ribosomal RNA (390 nucleotides) under uncultured bacterium. Its description in RNAcentral is "bacterial SSU rRNA". It matches the Rfam family "Bacterial small subunit ribosomal RNA", at positions 28 to 424 of the family's 1533-position model. The record is from RNAcentral.